GACGCGCCACGCCCAGAGCACGAAGCUCAC
This 30-nucleotide small RNA is filed under the name Bombyx mori (domestic silkworm). RNAcentral's name for it is "ovarian small RNA-15566". The record is from RNAcentral. Lineage: Eukaryota; Metazoa; Arthropoda; Insecta; Lepidoptera; Bombycidae.